Molecule: ribosomal RNA, 204 nt
Filed under: uncultured bacterium
Lineage: Bacteria
Description: partial 16S ribosomal RNA
Rfam family: Bacterial small subunit ribosomal RNA
Source: RNAcentral
AUUGAAGGCUGAAAUUCGCCUUCAUGAAGCUGGAAUUGCUAGUAAUGGCAGGUCAGCAUACUGCCGUGAAUACGUUCCCGGGCCUUGUACACACCGCCCGUCACACCAUGAGAGUUGGGAAUACCCGAAGCCUGUGAGCUAACUGUAAGGAGGCAGCAGUCGAAGGUAGAAUCAAUGAUUGGGGUGAAGUCGUAACAAGGUACC